UACGGAGGGAGCUAGCGUUGUUCGGAAUUACUGGGCGUAAAGCGCACGUAGGCGGCUUUGUAAGUUAGAGGUGAAAGCCUGGAGCUCAACUCCAGAAUUGCCUUUAAGACUGCAUCGCUUGAAUCCGGGAGAGGUGAGUGGAAUUCCGAGUGUAGAGGUGAAAUUCGUAGAUAUUCGGAAGAACACCAGUGGCGAAGGCGGCUCACUGGACCGGUAUUGACGCUGAGGUGCGAAAGCGUGGGGAGCGAACAGG
This 253-nucleotide ribosomal RNA is filed under the name uncultured bacterium. RNAcentral's name for it is "partial 16S ribosomal RNA". It matches the Rfam family "Bacterial small subunit ribosomal RNA", at positions 524 to 776 of the family's 1533-position model. The record is from RNAcentral.